GUCGAACGGUAACAGGAAGCAGCUUGCUGCUUCGCUGACGAGUGGCGGACGGGUGAGUAAUGUCUGGGAAACUGCCUGAUGGAGGGGGAUAACUACUGGAAACGGUAGCUAAUACCGCAUAACGUCGCAAGACCAAAGAGGGGGACCUUCGGGCCUCUUGCCAUCGGAUGUGCCCAGAUGGGAUUAGCUAGUAGGUGGGGUAACGGCUCACCUAGGCGACGAUCCCUAGCUGGUCUGAGAGGAUGACCAGCCACACUGGAACUGAGACACGGUCCAGACUCCUACGGGAGGCAGCAGAGGGGAAUAUUGCACAAUGGGCGCAAGCCUGAUGCAGCCAUGCCGCGUGUAUGAAGAAGGCCUUCGGGUUGUAAAGUACUUUCAGCGGGGAGGAAGGCGAUAAGGUUAAUAACCUUGUCGAUUGACGUUACCCGCAGAAGAAGCACCGGCUAACUCCGUGCCAGCAGCCGCGGUAAUACGGAGGGUGCAAGCGUUAAUCGGAAUUACUGGGCGUAAAGCGCACGCAGGCGGUCUGUCAAGUCGGAUGUGAAAUCCCCGGGCUCAACCUGGGAACUGCAUUCGAAACUGGCAGGCUAGAGUCUUGUAGAGGGGGGUAGAAUUCCAGGUGUAGCGGUGAAAUGCGUAGAGAUCUGGAGGAAUACCGGUGGCGAA
This 669-nucleotide ribosomal RNA is filed under the name uncultured Enterobacter sp. Its description in RNAcentral is "bacterial SSU rRNA". It matches the Rfam family "Bacterial small subunit ribosomal RNA", at positions 61 to 719 of the family's 1533-position model. The record is from RNAcentral. Lineage: Bacteria; Pseudomonadati; Pseudomonadota; Gammaproteobacteria; Enterobacterales; Enterobacteriaceae.